Molecule: ribosomal RNA, 433 nt
Filed under: uncultured bacterium
Lineage: Bacteria
Description: partial 16S ribosomal RNA
Rfam family: Bacterial small subunit ribosomal RNA
Source: RNAcentral
AACGAACGCUGGCGGCAUGCCUAACACAUGCAAGUUGAACGAAGGCUUCGGCCUUAGUGGCGCACGGGUGCGUAACGCGUGGGAAUCUGCCCUUUGGUUCGGAAUAACAGCUGGAAACGGCUGCUAAUACCGGAUGAUGACGAAAGUCCAAAGAUUUAUCGCCAGAGGAUGAGCCCGCGUUGGAUUAGGUAGUUGGUGGGGUAAAGGCCUACCAAGCCGACGAUCCAUAGCUGGUCUGAGAGGAUGAUCAGCCACACUGGGACUGAGACACGGCCCAGACUCCUACGGGAGGCAGCAGUGGGGAAUAUUGGACAAUGGGCGCAAGCCUGAUCCAGCAAUGCCGCGUGAGUGAUGAAGGCCCUAGGGUUGUAAAGCUCUUUUACCCGGGAAGAUAAUGACUGUACCGGGAGAAUAAGCCCCGGCUAACUCCGUG